RNAcentral lists this ribosomal RNA (1971 nucleotides) under gut metagenome. Its description in RNAcentral is "bacterial LSU rRNA". It matches the Rfam family "Bacterial large subunit ribosomal RNA", at positions 1 to 1999 of the family's 2925-position model. The record is from RNAcentral.
GAAAGUAAGAAAGAGCGUCUGGGGGAUGCCUGGGCUCUUGGAGGCGAAGAAGGACGUGGUAAGCUGCGAAAAGCCUCGGGGAUUAGCAAACAUGACUUGAUCCGAGGAUAUCCGAAUGGGGCAACCCGGCUGGCUGGAGGCCAGUCACACCGCGAGGUGGGCAAACCCGCUGAACUGAAACAUCUAAGUAGGCGGAGGAGAAGAAAACAACCGUGAUUUCCAAAGUAGUGGCGAGCGAAAUGGAAACAGCCUAAACCAAUGUUGUUACGGCAAUAUUGGGGUUGUAGGACUGCAAACACUUAAUAUCGACGAAGUGGAAUCAUCUGGAAAGUUGAUCCAUAGAGUGUGAAAGGCACGUACACGUAAGUUAGAUAAGCGGUAGCAGUAUCCUGAGUAGGGCGGGACACGAGGAAUCCUGUCUGAAUCUGCCGGGACCACCCGGUAAGGCUAAAUACUCCCAAGAGACCGAUAGUGGACCAGUACCGUGAGGGAAAGGUGAAAAGUACCCCGAACAGGGGAGUGAAAUAGAACCUGAAACCAGGCGCUUACAACCGGUCGGAGCGGCUUUGUGCCGUGACGGCGUGCCUUUUGCAUAAUGAGCCUACGAGUUACUAAUCACUGGCAAGGUUAAGUGCUGAUAAGCACGGAGCCGAAGCGAAAGCGAGUCUGAAUAGGGCGCCAUAGUCAGUGGUUGUAGACGCGAAACCUUGCGAUCUACCCUUGAGCAGGUUGAAGGUUGGGUAAUACCAACUGGAGGACCGCACCAAUAAGCGUUGAAAAGCUUCUGGAUGACUUGAGGGUAGGGGUGAAAGGCUAAUCAAGCUGGGAAAUAGCUCGUACUCCCCGAAAUGCCUUUAGGGGCAGCGUUGUAAUAAAGAGUCUACCGGAGGUAGAGCUACUGAUUGGAUGCGGGGGCUUCACCGCCUACCAAAUCCUGACAAACUCCGAAUGCCGGUAGUAUGAUUUACAGCAGUGAGCGGCCGGGUGCUAAUGUCCGGUCACGAGAGAGGAACAACUCAGAUCAUCAGCUAAGGCCCCCAAGAAUACACUAAGUUGAUCUAACGAUGUGCGACUGCAGCGACAGCUAGGAUGUUAGCUUGGAAGCAGCUAUUCAUUUAAAGAGUGCGUAACAGCUCACUAGUCGAGCGGUUGUGCGUGGAUAAUAAACGGGCAUCAAGUGUAUCGCCGAAGCUAUGGACUCGAAAGAGUGGUAGGGGAGCAUUCCAUUUGCGUCGAAGCCGUACCGUCAGGUAUUGUGGAGCGGAUGGAAAAGCAAAUGUAGGCAUAAGUAACGAUAAGGCGGGCGAGAAACCCGCCCACCGCAAGACCAAGGUUUCCUGAUCAACGUUAAUCGGAUCAGGGUUAGUCGGGGCCUAAGGAUAAGCCGAACGGUGAUUCCGAUGGACAAUCGGUUAAUAUUCCGAUACCGAUUCAUACUGCGAUGGAGAGACGAAGAAACGUAAGUCACGCCAGCUGACGGAAUAGCUGGUUAAAGGAUGUAGGUAUAGGGAGACGUUAACAGCGACUCUCUGCUGAACUCUGACAGUACCGAGAGCCUUCGGGCAAUCGGAUAGUUGACCCAAGUAUGCUUCCGAGAAAAACUUCUAAGCUUCAGGUAUGAAUCGCCCGUACCAUAAACCGACACAGGUGGUCGAGGAGAGUAUCCUAAGGUGCUCGAGUGAUUCACGGUUAAGGAACUAGGCAAAUUAACCCCGUAACUUCGGGAAAAGGGGUCCCUGCUCUGCAGGGCGCAGCGAAGAGGUCCAGGCGACUGUUUAUCAAAAACACAGGGCUCUGCUAAUACGAAAGUAGACGUAUAGGGCCUGACACCUGCCCGGUGCUGGAAGGUUAAGAGGGGAUGUCAUCGCAAGAGAAGCAUUGAAUCGAAGCCCCAGUAAACGGCGGCCGUAACUAUAACGGUCCUAAGGUAGCGAAAUUCCUUGUCGGGUAAGUUCCGACCUGCACGAAUGG